Molecule: ribosomal RNA, 253 nt
Filed under: uncultured bacterium
Lineage: Bacteria
Description: partial 16S ribosomal RNA
Rfam family: Bacterial small subunit ribosomal RNA
Source: RNAcentral
UACGAAGGGGGCUAGCGUUGUUCGGAGUUACUGGGCGUAAAGGGCGCGUAGGCGGCGCACCAAGUCAGGCGUGAAAGCCCUGGGCUCAACCCGGGAAUUGCGCUUGAGACUGGUGUGCUUGAGUACGGGAGAGGAUAGUGGAAUUCCCGGUGUAGUGGUGGAAUGCGUAGAUAUCGGGAGGAACACCAGUGGCGAAGGCGACUACCUGGCCUGUUCUUGACGCUGAGGCGCGAAAGCUAGGGGAGCAAACGGG